This is a long non-coding RNA of Homo sapiens (human), 585 nucleotides long. The record is from Ensembl. NCBI's taxonomy places the organism in Eukaryota, Metazoa, Chordata, Mammalia, Primates, Hominidae.
CAGCUGUCAGUGCAUGAGUGGACUGAAUGCUAUGAAAUUGCAUACUUUUCUGUUGGAUGUUUCAUGGGAGAGACUUUGCUUAGAAGUUAGCUGAGUAAUCAUGUGAUCUUGGUAUGAGUGUUAAGCAUUCAGCAUGGCUUUGAGUCUGAACAAAAGAGCAAACAAGCCCUGGUGAGAUGAAGAAGGGAGCAGGAGCCUGGAGAUGCCUGAAGAUGUUGGUGAGAAUCACAACCUGGAGUGCAUGGGGGUGGUCUCCUCACCAACCCUUGGCACAGUGGGUUUCAUCUUCACCUUGAAGGAGAGCAGGCCAGACAAGAUCUCAGCACAGCUUCGCAACUGCGUCCACCCUCUCUUCUCUUCUAAGAGUUCACUUGGAAGGCUUGGCAAAACUCAGCUCUCAGGUCACUUCUGGCUUCCAACAUUCUAUAAAUGCUCUCAGAAAACAAAAGUCCAAGAGGAUUUCCUAUCCCCAGGACCUGGCCCAGGCUGAGAGAAGCUGUGUGGAGUGGAAGAUGGACAUUGAGGAAGAAGGGCAGGUGUGGUCUCACCCAGAAUGGUUCCUGCUGCUUCCGCGGUGCCCAGGCU